GUCUUAGUUCGGCUCUAUUGCCGCGAGCUUGACUCUUCCUGGGUCUGAGGAAAAGUAAAAGUAAUUUUGUCAUUUCCUGAAACUUCAAGUUAAACCUUUAAGCUGUUCAUUUCCUAAAAGGGUGAAAACGCGGGCACCCCUCGAGCUAGUUCAUCGCCUUUUAACCUGUUGUUGGAUCUUUCCAGAUCACCACACCACAUCACCCAGCCACUCUGCCCAAUGGGAGGGCAGACAGUGUUCCAGUGUAGGAGGAAGGGGUGUAAGGUGCGGGCAGUUUGUGAGGAGGGCACCAACGAGAGCUACUGUGAGAAAGUCUGCAUGGUCAAAAAGUGGAUUACCAAGAACAAAGCAUCAUAAUGUUGUCCAGUGGACCCCAGGGUCAUCUGGAUGAAAUGAAUACUUUUAGGGCAAAAUGGCUGAUACUGCUUCCUUGAUAACCACAUAUAGAAAACUGACAACUGUUUAGAACAAAGCCAAAGAUGAAACCAAAUAUAAAACCACUGAUGAAAACUAAGUGAAAAAUAUAAGCAAAAUAGAAGAAAAAUAAGGUCGUUAUUUCAAGAAAACGAAAGACAGUCAAUGCUGUUCUUUGUAUUCACAUACAAUUUGGUUCACACCAAAAUUUUUUAUCUUUAUCGUAUAACUGAAUGAGUUAUGUGGCACAU
This 665-nucleotide long non-coding RNA is filed under the name Homo sapiens (human). RNAcentral's name for it is "HSALNT0315635". The record is from RNAcentral. Lineage: Eukaryota; Metazoa; Chordata; Mammalia; Primates; Hominidae.